Molecule: ribosomal RNA, 1248 nt
Filed under: metagenome
Description: bacterial LSU rRNA
Rfam family: Bacterial large subunit ribosomal RNA
Source: RNAcentral
CAUACGACCGUACCGCAAACCGACACUGGUGCGCGAGAUGAGUAUUCUAAGGCGCUUGAGAGAACUCAGGAGAAGGAACUCGGCAAAUUGACACCGUAACUUCGGAAGAAGGUGUGCCCUAUUAGUGUGUAGUGAACAACGAAGCAUGAAUGGGUUGCAAAAAAUCGGUGGCUGCGACUGUUUAUUAAAAACACAGCACUCUGCAAACACGAAAGUGGACGUAUAGGGUGUGACGCCUGCCCGGUGCUGGAAGAUUAAAUGAUGGGGUGCAAGCUCUUGAUUGAAGUCCCAGUAAACGGCGGCCGUAACAAUAACGGUCCUAAGGUAGCGAAAUUCCUUGUCGGGUAAGUUCCGACCUGCACGAAUGGCAUAACGAUGGCCACACUGUCUCCUCCUGAGACUCAGCGAAGUUGAAAUGUUUGUGAUGAUGCAAUCUCCCCGCGGAAAGACGGAAAGACCCCAUGAACCUUUACUGUAGCUUUGUAUUGGACUUUGAACAGAUCUGUGUAGGAUAGGUGGGAGGCUUUGAAGCAGGGUCGCUAGAUCUUGUGGAGCCAACGUUGAAAUACCACCCUGGUGUGUUUGAGGUUCUAACCUAGGUCCAUUAUCUGGAUCGGGGACAGUGCAUGGUAGGCAGUUUGACUGGGGCGGUCUCCUCCCAAAGCGUAACGGAGGAGUUCGAAGGUACGCUAGUUACGGUCGGACAUCGUGACGAUAGUGCAAUGGCAUAAGCGUGCUUAACUGCGAGACUGACAAGUCGAGCAGAUGCGAAAGCAGGACAUAGUGAUCCGGUGGUUCUGUAUGGAAGGGCCAUCGCUCAACGGAUAAAAGGUACUCUGGGGAUAACAGGCUGAUACCGCCCAAGAGUUCAUAUCGACGGCGGUGUUUGGCACCUCGAUGUCGGCUCAUCUCAUCCUGGGGCUGUAGCCGGUCCCAAGGGUAUGGCUGUUCGCCAUUUAAAGAGGUACGUGAGCUGGGUUUAAAACGUCGUGAGACAGUUUGGUCCCUAUCUUCCGUGGGCGCUGCAGAUUUGAGGAAGCCUGCUCCUAGUACGAGAGGACCGGAGUGGACACACCUCUGGUGUAUCGGUUGUCACGCCAGUGGCAUUGCCGAGUAGCUAAGUGUGGAAGAGAUAACCGCUGAAAGCAUCUAAGCGGGAAACUCGUUUCAAGAUGAGAUCUGCCGGGGCCUUGAGCCCCCUAAAGAGUCGUUCAAGACCAGGACGUUGAUAGGUCAGGUGUGGAAGCG